AGUGAACGCUGGCGGUAGGCCUAACACAUGCAAGUCGAACGGCAGCACAGUAAGAGCUUGCUCUUACGGGUGGCGAGUGGCGGACGGGUGAGGAAUACAUCGGAAUCUACUUUUUCGUGGGGGAUAACGUAGGGAAACUUACGCUAAUACCGCAUACGACCUACGGGUGAAAGCAGGGGAUCUUCGGACCUUGCGCGAUUGAAUGAGCCGAUGUCGGAUUAGCUAGUUGGCGGGGUAAAGGCCCACCAAGGCGACGAUCCGUAGCUGGUCUGAGAGGAUGAUCAGCCACACUGGAACUGAGACACGGUCCAGACUCCUGCGGGAGGCAGCAGUGGGGAAUAUGGGGCAAUGGGCGCAAGCCUGAUCCAGCCAUACCGCGUGGGUGAAGAAGGCCUUCGGGUUGUAAAGCCCUUUUGUUGGGAAAGAAAAGCAGCAGGUUAAUACCCCGCUGUUCUGACGGUACCCAAAGAAUAAGCACCGGCUAACUUCGUG
RNAcentral lists this ribosomal RNA (492 nucleotides) under uncultured bacterium. RNAcentral's name for it is "partial 16S ribosomal RNA". It matches the Rfam family "Bacterial small subunit ribosomal RNA", at positions 29 to 507 of the family's 1533-position model. The record is from RNAcentral.